This 387-nucleotide transfer-messenger RNA is filed under the name Gloeomargaritaceae. RNAcentral describes it as "JACYLR01 sp015272465 Standard tmRNA". It matches the Rfam family "transfer-messenger RNA". Rfam says of the family: Bacterial tmRNA, also known as 10Sa RNA or SsrA, is named for its dual tRNA and mRNA-like properties. Its role is to liberate the mRNA from a stalled ribosome. RNAcentral also lists the same sequence under 1 other name. Lineage: Bacteria; Bacillati; Cyanobacteriota; Cyanophyceae; Gloeomargaritales. The record is from RNAcentral.
GGGGCCGUAAUGGCUUCGACGUGCUGGUGAACUCCAAACCGUGAUACAGGCCGAGGGUGAACUGCCCCUCGAAAAUAACCAGUUCAAAUGCGUAACUGCGAACAACAUCGUUCCUUUUGCUCGUAAAGCGGCCGUUGUGGCUGCCUAAGAGUCUAUAGACUAGACUUCGAGCCUCAGACUACGACGCCGUUAAGGAGUCUGAGCAACCCCAACGGCUGCACCACGACGUCUUCUGAGGACGGACUUGUGGUUAAGAUUAGUCCUCAGUCCCUCACUGGUCGGGGUUAUGCCAGUCCUCGUUGUUCAGGUCAGAGCAACUAAGCCUGUGAAUGAGCGCCAGGUCAAUACCCGGUACGGACAGCGGUUCGAUUCCGCUCGGCUCCAUAA